UACGGAGGAUCCGAGCGUUAUCCGGAUUUAUUGGGUUUAAAGGGUGCGCAGGCGGGAUGUUAAGUCGGCGGUGAAAUUUUGCAGCUCAACUGUAAAAGUGCCCUCGAUACUGGCCUCCUUGAGUGUGGAUGAAGUAGGCGGAAUUUGUGGUGUAGUGGUGAAAUGCUUAGAUAUCACGAGGAACUCCGAUUGCGCAGGCAGCUUACUAAACCACAACUGACGCUCAUGCACGAAGGCGUGGGGAUCAAACAGGAUUAGAUCCCUGGUAGUCACGCAGUAAACGAUGAUUACUAGUUGUUUGCGAUACAAUGGAAGCGACUGAGCGAAAGCGUUAAGUAAUCCACCUGGGGAGUACGUUCGCAAGAAUGAA
Molecule: ribosomal RNA, 370 nt
Filed under: uncultured bacterium
Lineage: Bacteria
Description: bacterial SSU rRNA
Rfam family: Bacterial small subunit ribosomal RNA
Source: RNAcentral